RNAcentral lists this ribosomal RNA (461 nucleotides) under uncultured Bacteroidota bacterium. RNAcentral's name for it is "bacterial SSU rRNA". It matches the Rfam family "Bacterial small subunit ribosomal RNA", at positions 338 to 795 of the family's 1533-position model. The record is from RNAcentral. Lineage: Bacteria; Pseudomonadati; Bacteroidota.
CCUACGGGCGGCUGCAGUGAGGAAUAUUGGUCAAUGGGCGCAAGCCUGAACCAGCCAUUCCGCGUGAAGGAAGAAGGCCUUACGGGUUGUAAACUUCUUUUCUGUAAGAAGAAUAACCGGGACGAGUUUCCGGGAUGACGGUAUUAUAGGAAUAAGCAUCGGCUAACUCCGUGCCAGCAGCCGCGGUAAUACGGAGGAUGCAAGCGUUAUCCGGAUUUAUUGGGUUUAAAGGGUGCGCAGGUUGUUUGACAAGUCAGUGGUGAAAGUCUGCCGCUUAACGGAAGGAUUGCCAUUGAUACUGUUGGACUUGAGUAUGGAUAAGGUAUGCGGAAUGUGUAGUGUAGCGGUGAAAUGCAUAGAUAUUACACAGAACACCGAUUGCGAAGGCAGCAUACUGGGCCAUUACUGACGCUGAGGCACGAAAGCGUGGGGAUCAAACAGGAUUAGAUACCCGGGUAGUC